RNAcentral lists this transfer RNA (58 nucleotides) under Cavia porcellus (domestic guinea pig). It matches the Rfam family "tRNA", at positions 8 to 63 of the family's 71-position model. From Rfam's summary of the family: Transfer RNA (tRNA) molecules are approximately 80 nucleotides in length. Lineage: Eukaryota; Metazoa; Chordata; Mammalia; Rodentia; Caviidae. The record is from Rfam by way of RNAcentral.
UAGCUCAGCGGUAUAAGCACCUGCCUUGAAAGCAGGCGGUCCUGGGUUCGAUCUCCGG